GACGAACGCUGGCGGCGUGCCUAAUACAUGCAAGUCGAACGCAGUGGGGACGGGUGAGUAACACGUGGGUAACCUCCCAUCAGAGGGGAUAACACUUGGAAACAGGUGCUAAACCGAUACUGAUGGAUGGACCCGCGGUGCAUUAGCUAGUUGGUGGGGUAACGGCUCACCAAGGCCACGAUGCAUAGCGGGCCUGAGAGGGUGAGCGGCCAGACUGGGACGGAGACACGGCCCAGACUCCUACGGGAGGCAGCAGUAGGGAAUAGUCGGCAAUGGGAGAAAGUCUGACGGAGCCACGCCGCGUGAGUGAAGAAGGUGUUCGGGUCGUAAAACUCUGUUGGUAGAGAAGCGGUAUCUAACCAGGAAGCCACGGCUAACUACGUGCCAGCAGCCGCGGUAAUUC
Molecule: ribosomal RNA, 403 nt
Filed under: uncultured bacterium
Lineage: Bacteria
Description: partial 16S ribosomal RNA
Rfam family: Bacterial small subunit ribosomal RNA
Source: RNAcentral